UACGUAGGAGGCAAGCGUUGUCCGGAAUCAUUGGGCGUAAAGAGCGUGUAGGCGGCCCGAUAAGUCCGCUGUGAAAGUCCAGGGCUCAACCCUGGAAAGCGGGUGGAUACUGCCGGGCUAGAAUCCGGAAGAGGCGAGUGGAAUUCCUGGUGUAGCGGUGGAAUGCGCAGAUAUCAGGAGGAACACCAAUAGCGAAGGCAGCUCGCUGGGACGGUAUUGACGCUAAGGCGCGAAAGCGUGGGGAGCAAACAGG
RNAcentral lists this ribosomal RNA (253 nucleotides) under uncultured bacterium. Its description in RNAcentral is "partial 16S ribosomal RNA". It matches the Rfam family "Bacterial small subunit ribosomal RNA", at positions 524 to 776 of the family's 1533-position model. The record is from RNAcentral.